AAAAGGAUAUUGUUGGAGCAGCAUUGACUAUUAUGAAUAGAGCUAUAGAGGAAGAGCGAUACAUCGAUGCAACUUUCAUUCGUGAUCAUGUUGGGGCAGGACUGAAACUUAAAGCAAUGUUCAGAAAGGGUGCAUGCGACUUAAAUACUGAUGAAAAAGGUAGUUGCUCAGUAUACUGCUUUGUGGUUUUUAUGCAAACUGCACAUCCUCAAGCUUUGAGAUCUUACUAGAGUGUUGCUGCUGUAAUGUUGAGACAUAAGAAAAGGGAGAAAGCUGGGUUUGCAAGCUAAGUCUAUGAAAUUCUGUAUGCAGAAAA
Long non-coding RNA from Zingiber officinale, 316 nucleotides. RefSeq lists it as uncharacterized. NCBI's taxonomy places the organism in Eukaryota, Viridiplantae, Streptophyta, Magnoliopsida, Zingiberales, Zingiberaceae. The record is from RefSeq and is a predicted model, not a curated record. The transcript has 4 exons.